GUUUUCAUUUGGUUUGUCCAUCCAACAACAGAUUACAUUUACCAGUUUCUUUUGCAGUGGGGUAUGAUCAUGUGACCAAGUCUUGGUUAAUGGAACUUGGGCAGAUAUGAAGAAAGCUACAACCAGGUCAUUUCCUUCAAGGUAAUUGUCACAGACACUGUUCUUUCUCACUUCCCUUAGAUGUGGUGGUGAGCCACCAUGAACCACAUUGAUGGCCCCCAAGCCCACAGAGCCCACAGAGAGCCAAAGGAGAAAAGGAGCCAAUUCUUUAGAAGACCUUAAGGAGAAAUGUUGCUUGGCCUCCAGUUCUGACCACUCAUUACUAGACUGUAACAUAAGAAAAACAGAACAAAACUUUUAUCAUCUUUGAGCCAUAGGGUUAGACUGUACCCCAGUAAUACAGUCUCAGACUAUCCAUAAACUUAAUCAUAUCCUCUUAAAUGUUUCAAAUUAAAUUCAAGUCUAAUGUACUAGGUUUUCUUAUAUGUUAGAUUGCCAUCAAUGUUUUAACCUCUUUAAAU
Molecule: long non-coding RNA, 521 nt
Filed under: Marmota monax (woodchuck)
Lineage: Eukaryota; Metazoa; Chordata; Mammalia; Rodentia; Sciuridae
Source: RNAcentral